AACGAACGCUGGCGGCAUGCCUAACACAUGCAAGUCGAACGAUGCCUUCGGGCAUAGUGGCGCACGGGUGCGUAACGUGUAGGAAUAUGCCUUUCGGUACGGAAUAACUCAGGGAGACUUGAGCUAAUACCGGCUAACGUCGCAAGACCAAAGAUUUAUCACCGAAAGAUGAGCCUGCGUAGGAUUAGCUAGUUGGUGAGGUAAAGGCUCACCAAGGCGACGAUCCUUAGCUGGUCUGAGAGGAUGAUCAGCGACACUGGGACUGAGACGCGGCCCAGACUCUUACGCGAGGCAGCAGUGGGGAAUAGUGGACAAUGGGCGAAAGCCUGAUCCAGCAAUGCCGCGUGAGUGAUGAAGGCCUUAGGGUUGUAAAGCUCUUUUACCCGGGAAGAUAAUGACGGUACCGGGAGAAUAAGCCCCGGCUAACUCCGUG
RNAcentral lists this ribosomal RNA (433 nucleotides) under uncultured bacterium. RNAcentral describes it as "partial 16S ribosomal RNA". It matches the Rfam family "Bacterial small subunit ribosomal RNA", at positions 29 to 507 of the family's 1533-position model. The record is from RNAcentral.